CAGUGGAACGCGAAAGGGACUUCGGUCCUGAGUAAAGUGGCGCACGGGUGAGUAACGCGUGGAUAAUCUACCCAAUGAUCUGGGAUAACAUCUCGAAAGGGGUGCUAAUACCGGAUAAGACCACGGAGUCUUCGGAUUCUGCGGUAAAAGGUGGGGACCUUCGGGCCUACCGUCAUCGGAUGAGUCCGCGUACCAUUAGCUAGUUGGUGGGGUAAUGGCCUACCAAGGCUACGAUGGUUAGCUGGUCUGAGAGGAUGAUCAGCCACACUGGAACUGAGACACGGUCCAGACUCCUACGGGAGGCAGCAGUGGGGAAUUUUGCGCAAUGGGGGAAACCCUGACGCAGCAACGCCGCGUGAGUGACGAAGGCUUUCGGGUCGUAAAGCUCUGUCAGAGGGGAAGAAAUGUAUAGGUGCUAAUACCGCUUAUACUUGACGGUACCCUCAAAGGAAGCACCGGCUAACUCCGUGCCACAA
RNAcentral lists this ribosomal RNA (476 nucleotides) under bacterium enrichment culture clone Geo257_782_42.fa. RNAcentral's name for it is "bacterial SSU rRNA". It matches the Rfam family "Bacterial small subunit ribosomal RNA", at positions 59 to 513 of the family's 1533-position model. The record is from RNAcentral.